AGUUUACAGCCUCUGACAGACUGAAAAUAUCUCAGGAUCUUCUGGUGAGUAUGUGUCUUUCAUAAGCAUAAUAGCUCCAUAUAUUUGUCUGCUCCAAAUGGUAACUAUUCUGUGGUAAAGGUAAAGGUAAAGGUACCCCUGCCUGUACGGGCCAGUCUUGCCAGACUCUAGGGUUGUGCGUUCAUCUCAUUCUAGAGGCCGGGGGCCAGCGCUGUCCGCAGACACUUCCGGGUCACGUGGCCAGCGUGACAAGCUGCAUCUGGCGAGCCAGCGCAGCACACGGAACGCCGUUUACCUUCCCGCUGGUAAGCGGUCCCUAUUUAUCUACUUGCACCCGGGGGUGCUUUCGAACUGCGAGGUUGGCAGGCACUGGGACCGAACGACGGGAGCGCACCCCGCCGCGGGGAUUCGAACCGCCGACCAUGCGAUCGGCAAGUCCUAGGCGCUGAGGUUUUACCCACAGCGCCACCCGCGUCCCGCUACUAUUCUGUGGACAUAAGUAUUAUAGAGUAUAUAAACAACGUAAGCCAAAUGACAAUUUAAGAAAGCACUGAACCACAAUCAUAUACACAUUAUCUUUCAGACGGAAAUUAAGGGAAAUCUUCUAAAAUCAGUGAGACAUUAUGUUCCAUAUCCAUAUGCUCUCUGAGCUCUUCCACAUUUGAGUCAUAAAAUGACACAAGAAUGGCAGAGAGUAAGGAUGGGAUGGGUAUUAUGUAAUAGGUGUUCUUGAAACUCAUGCAACCUAAUUCCAUGCAGUACUUGUAAUAACUUGAGAAUAAGCAUGCUGACUAGAGGAAAACAUACAUUUUUCCUGAAAGCAAAAAACAAAACAAAAAACACCAGCCAGAAUGCCGAGAGAGCUUUAUGUCUGGUGCACCUUCUGCGGGAAAACAAAGUUGGAUCCCAUGUUAACACUUGAAUGACAAUGAGACAAUUAUUGUGUAAUAAAACUAAUGUGAAAUAGACUUUCUCAGCCUGUCCACAUCCCUUAUCUCCUUUUUAUUUAUUCAUUCAUUUGGGACUGAUUAAUGAGGAGGAUGUGCAGCAUUUACUGUUUCUAGCACCUGAUUAUCCUGUCACUUCACUGAGACAAAUUAUCAGCUCAGGCUUCAAUUCUGUGCAUAUGCAUCAGGGAUUAAAUCCCACUGAGUUCAAUGGGGCUGACUUCUGAGCUGACAUGCACAGAAUGCAAUAAUUGAAGCCAAUGAAAUCCAUUUCAGAUUUUAGUCAGUGUGGUGUAUAGUGGUUAGAGUGCAGGACUAGGACCUGGGAGACCAGGGUUCAAAUCUCCACUCAGCCAUGAAGCUUACCAUGGGCCAGUUAGUCUCUGUCUAACCUACCUCACAGGGCUGUUGUGAGGAUAAAUUGAGAGAGGGAGAACCCUGUAUGCCAACUUGAGCACUUGAAGAAAGGUAGGAUAUAAGUGCAGUAAAUAAAUCACUUUUGACUUUGUGCUGAAAAAAAUAAAGGGAUUUAAAGAAACUUGUUAAGAAUCAAAGAGGUUUUUAUUCAGAAUCUCCACUUAUUACAAAUCACUCACUACUUUAAAUAUGCAGUAUGUGCAGCAGUGUAAUCCUAUGCAUGUUACGGUACUUGGAAAUACAUUUCACUGUAUUCAGUGGGCCUGACAGGAAAAUGUGCAUAGCAUUGCAAUUUUUUAAAAAAUCCUUUUUGGUCCAUGAGUGAUAUAAAUCAGUCUUAUUUUCCUUUCACAGCUGGUUAAAGGAGUCUGAACAAGAUCCUGCCAAUGCCAGCAGACUAUUCACAGAGAGGUCUGAAGAACACAAGUUUUGUACAAUGCGGCAGUCAGUUGCUAAGUUGCAUUAUCUCUGUGUUUUAUGUUGGCAUCAGCAAUGCGGCUCCCUUUGAAAAGCUACCUUCUGAUCCAAGCCAAAGGGCUGUGGCCCUACACAUGUUUACACAGGCAGUUUCACAUCAGGGCAGACUGAACUCUGUAGUUUGCAGCUGGAGCCAAGUCAGCCUUUGGCAGCA
Molecule: long non-coding RNA, 1995 nt
Filed under: Podarcis lilfordi (Lilford's wall lizard)
Lineage: Eukaryota; Metazoa; Chordata; Lepidosauria; Squamata; Lacertidae
Source: RNAcentral